UCUUGUCACCAAAAUCUCAUUUGGAUCCCAAACCCUUUCAACAUGUUCUGGGUUCCCCUUGUGAGCCUCCUGUUCAUCAUGUGGUGCACAGGCGCAAAUUCUCAGCUCACCGUGUCUCAACCACCUUCAGCCUCAGUAUCACUUGGGAGCACCACGAAACUCUCCUGUACCAUCAGUAUGGAUGGCAGAACUAUACGCUGGUACCAGCAGAAGCCUGGGAAUGCCCCUCGAUUCCUGUUAUAUUAUUACACAGAGUCCAGCAAAGGUCAAGGCUCAGGGGUCCCCUCUCGCUUCUCUGGCUCCAAAGACUCCUCGGGCAAAAUUUUCUACUUGACCAUCUCUGGGGCCCUGGCAGAAGACGAGGCUGUUUAUUACUGUGCAGCUUGGUACAGCGAUGCUUGUCACGGUGUUACAGGCUAAUGGGGAAGUAAGACAA
This is a non-coding RNA of Pogona vitticeps (central bearded dragon), 436 nucleotides long. Lineage: Eukaryota; Metazoa; Chordata; Lepidosauria; Squamata; Agamidae. The record is from the annotation of a RefSeq genome assembly.